UGGGGAAUUUUGGACAAUGGGCGCAAGCCUGAUCCAGCAACGCCGCGUGGGUGAUGAAGGCCUUCGGGUUGUAAAGCCCUGUCGGGAGGGACGAAAGAACAGAGUAACGAACUGGAAUGACGGUACCUCCAACGGAAGCACCGGCUAACUCUGUGCCAGCAGCCGCGGUAAUACAGAGGGUGCAAGCGUUGUUCGGAAUUACUGGGCGUAAAGCGCGUGUAGGUGGCAUGGUAAGUCUCGUGUGAAAGCCCUGGGCUCAACCCAGGAAGUGCGCGAGAUACUGCCGUGCUUGAGUGAUGGAGAGGAUGGCGGAAUUCCCGGUGUAGAGGUGAAAUUCGUAGAUAUCGGGAGGAACACCUGUGGCGAAGGCGGCCAUCUGGACAUUUACUGACACUGAGACGCGAAAGCGUGGGUAGCAAA
Molecule: ribosomal RNA, 420 nt
Filed under: uncultured bacterium
Lineage: Bacteria
Description: bacterial SSU rRNA
Rfam family: Bacterial small subunit ribosomal RNA
Source: RNAcentral